GUAUAAGUGACAGCAGCAGCCGCGGGAAUACGGAGGGUGCAAGCGUUAUCCGGAUUUAUUGGGUUUAAAGGGUCCGUAGGCGGACUUAUAAGUCAGUGGUGAAAGCCUGUCGCUUAACGAUAGAACUGCCAUUGAUACUGUAAGUCUUGAGUAUAUUUGAGGUAGCUGGAAUAAGUAGUGUAGCGGUGAAAUGCAUAGAUAUUACUUAGAACACCAAUUGCGAAGGCAGGUUACCAAGAUAUAACUGACGCUGAGGGACGAAAGCGUGGGUAGCGAACAGGAUUAGAUACCCCGGUAGUCCCUGUCUCUUAUAC
RNAcentral lists this ribosomal RNA (314 nucleotides) under uncultured bacterium. Its description in RNAcentral is "partial 16S ribosomal RNA". It matches the Rfam family "Bacterial small subunit ribosomal RNA", at positions 495 to 807 of the family's 1533-position model. The record is from RNAcentral.